GAUUCUGGCUCAGAUUGAACGCUGGCGGCGUGCCUAACACAUGCAAGUCGAACGAGAAAGUCCCUCGGGGGCGAGUACAGUGGCGCACGGGUGAGUAACGCGUGGAUAAUCUACCCAAAGGUCUGGAAUAACAGUUGGAAACGACUGAUAAUACCAGAUGUACUGGCAACGGGAAAGGUGGCCUCUGCUUGCAAGCUACUGCCUUUGGAUGAGUCCGCGUCUCAUUAGCUAGACGGUAGGGUAACGGCCUACCGUGGCAACGAUGAGUAGCAGGCCUGAGAGGGUGGCCUGCCACACUGGGACUGGAACACGGCCCAGACUCCUACGGGAGGCAGCAGUGGGGAAUAUUGCGCAAUGGGGGAAACCCUGACGCAGCGACGCCGCGUGGAGGAUGAAAGGCUUUCGGGUCGUAAACUCCUGUCAAGAGGGAAGAAACCUGUGAAGAGUAACAUGCUUCGCAAUUGACGGUACCUCUAGAGGAAGCACCGGCUAAUUCCGUGCCAGCCGCAGC
Molecule: ribosomal RNA, 511 nt
Filed under: uncultured bacterium
Lineage: Bacteria
Description: bacterial SSU rRNA
Rfam family: Bacterial small subunit ribosomal RNA
Source: RNAcentral